GCGACACUAGCUCAAUUGGCAGAGCGGUCAUUUGCAGAAUGGCAGGUUGCUGGUUCAAGUCCAGCGUGGCU
Molecule: transfer RNA, 71 nt
Filed under: Gordonia sputi
Lineage: Bacteria; Bacillati; Actinomycetota; Actinomycetes; Mycobacteriales; Gordoniaceae
Also listed under: 2 other names
Description: tRNA-Cys
Rfam family: tRNA
About the family: Transfer RNA (tRNA) molecules are approximately 80 nucleotides in length. Their secondary structure includes four short double-helical elements and three loops (D, anti-codon, and T loops).
Source: RNAcentral